AUGGCGGUUGGCCGUGCCCUGAAGGCACAGCUCUGCGUCCCGCCGCACCAUCUGCGUGUCACGGCGCACAACCCGGAGGACUUCUUCGUCAUCUUCACGCAGCCGGCGCACCAUGACAAUGCGGUCCGCCGCGGCGUCCUGCGCGUCGACGGCGUGAGCUUCGCCAUCGCGUCGUGGGGAGAAAACGACCACGCGGGCCAUGGCACCUUCACCCUCCACGUGCGCUGUGUCAUCGAGCACAUUCCCCAGCAGUAUUGGACUCUAGAGGGCGUCCAGGAGGUUUUCGGCGACAAGGUGCUUGUCGAUCGCCUCGACAGCCGCACCCUGGAGCGCGACCACACCAAGACUUUCGCGUGUUGGGUGUGGGUCUGGGACAUGUCUUUCAUCCCGACCCGGCACACCUACUGGAAGCUGCCCCAAGGUGCUGGCAGGGUGGAGGAGAUGGAAGGAUUCUCGCCGCCGGACCGCCGCGUCGCCCUCCCGCCGGGCGCGGUGCGCUUCGACCUGCUCAUCCACGUCGACCGCAUCGAGGACUGGUCACCAUGCUCCCCCAAGUCGUCGCACUCUGCGCAAAGUGGCCUCCCCUCCUCCGACUCCGACAACGACGACGGCCUCCCCCGCACCAUCCCUGGCACCUGGGUCAUGCACGUCGAGGACGGCCAACCCAUGGAGCCCCACCGCCGCAGACAGCGCGCACCUAUGGUGGACACGGGCUGCUGUGGCCUCCCUGGCGGCGCCCACCGCCGCGACGACCACGACAACCAGGGCGGGGGCGGCGGCCAGCGCUCCUGGAAGGACACGCUGCUGGGCCGGGGCCGUGGCCACGCCGCCCAAGCUGAUCGUGGGGAGGCCACGAGCAAGGAGCGCUAG
This 870-nucleotide ribosomal RNA is filed under the name Triticum aestivum (bread wheat). RNAcentral's name for it is "partial small subunit ribosomal RNA". The record is from RNAcentral. Lineage: Eukaryota; Viridiplantae; Streptophyta; Magnoliopsida; Poales; Poaceae.